Molecule: non-coding RNA, 278 nt
Organism: Pelobates cultripes (western spadefoot toad)
Lineage: Eukaryota; Metazoa; Chordata; Amphibia; Anura; Pelobatidae
Source: the annotation of a GenBank genome assembly
CUUGGGAAUUCAUUUUUCCUUCGAUGAUAGCAAUCCGUCCAGGCCCUGAUGCAGCAAAGCAGCCCCAAACCAUGAUGCCCCCACCACCAUACUUCACAGUUGGGAUGAGGUUUUGAUGUUGGUGUGCUGUGCCUUUUUUUCACCACACAUAGUGUUGUGUGUUUCUUCCAAGCAACUCAACUUUGGUUUCAUCUGUCCACAGAAUAUUUUGCCAGUACUGCUGUGGAACAUCCAGGUGCUCUUGUGCAAACUGUAAACGUGCAGCAAUGUUUUGUUUG